UCUCCCACAAUCAUAUCUUUUUUCCAUACUGUAAUCAUUUCUCAACACCAUUAAUUAAGAUCUAAUUGAAUUAAACUUUACUUUACUGUUAUACUCCAUCCAUUGACACCAUAGACAAACCUUGAAUUUUUGAGAGAGAAUGGAAUUCCACCCCACUCUCACUUCAUCAUUAACACAUUGGAUAAUCACGAAUUCUGGCCACCACACUUGCUAUAAACAACACCCCGUCGAUCACCUUUCACCAUUAAUUCAUCAACCUUUUAUCGAUUUAAAUUUUUUUUCAACCCUUUAAGACAAUACCUUAAUAACAUCUAGGCUGAUAUACUUGCAUUAAUAUUGAUGAAGUUCAAUGUGAAUCAAGAAGAUAUUUAUGAUGGAAGAAGAGCCCAAGAAUAAGUUCAAGAAUUAUGGAGAAACAUGGGCUAAGUGCUAUAUAUAUUUCAUGAUUCAAA
This 452-nucleotide long non-coding RNA is filed under the name Capsicum annuum. RNAcentral's name for it is "long non-coding RNA (CANN_LNC011464)". The record is from RNAcentral. Lineage: Eukaryota; Viridiplantae; Streptophyta; Magnoliopsida; Solanales; Solanaceae.